GGGGUUGUGGCUUAGUGGUAGAGUGCUUGCCUAGCAUGUAUGAGGCACUGGGUUCAAUCCUCAGCACCACA
RNAcentral lists this transfer RNA (71 nucleotides) under Marmota monax (woodchuck). Its description in RNAcentral is "tRNA.Ala". It matches the Rfam family "tRNA". From Rfam's summary of the family: Transfer RNA (tRNA) molecules are approximately 80 nucleotides in length. Their secondary structure includes four short double-helical elements and three loops (D, anti-codon, and T loops). Further hydrogen bonds mediate the characteristic L-shaped molecular structure. tRNAs have two regions of fundamental functional importance: the anti-codon, which is responsible for specific mRNA codon recognition, and the 3' end, to which the tRNAs corresponding amino acid is attached (by aminoacyl-tRNA synthetases). tRNAs cope with the degeneracy of the genetic code in two manners: having more than one tRNA (with a specific anti-codon) for a particular amino acid; and 'wobble' base-pairing, i.e. permitting non-standard base-pairing at the 3rd anti-codon position. The record is from RNAcentral. Lineage: Eukaryota; Metazoa; Chordata; Mammalia; Rodentia; Sciuridae.